CUAACGAAACCUAAAGGCGCAAUGAAAGUGAAGGUCCGCCUAGCGCGGACCGAGGGAGGAUGGGUGGUCCCGCGGGACCGCCUCGCACUCCCGGGGCGUCUCGUUCUCAUCGCGAGAAGAGGCGCACCCAGAGCGUACACGCUGGGACCCGAAAGAUGGUGAACUAUGCCUGGUCAGGACGAAGUCAGGGGAAACUCUGAUGGAGGUCCGUAGCGAUUCUGACGUGCAAAUCGAUCGUCGGAACUGGGUAUAGGGGCGAAAGACUAAUCGAACCAUCUAGUAGCUGGUUCCCUCCGAAGUUUCCCUCAGGAUAGCUGGCGCUCGCCUCUCGCGAGUCUCAUUCGGUAAAGCGAAUGAUUAGAGGCAUUGGGGYCGAAACGGCCUCAACCUAUUCUCAAACUUUAAAUGGGUGAGAUCUCCGGCUUGCUUGAACUGUGAAGCCGCGAGAUAUCGGAUCAGAGUGCCAAGUGGGCCACUUUUGGUAAGCAGAACUGGCGCUGUGGGAUGAACCAAACGCCGAGUUAAAGCGCCUAAAUCGACGCUUAUGGGAUACCAUGAAA
This 560-nucleotide ribosomal RNA is filed under the name Colobostoma sp. NLG-2014. Its description in RNAcentral is "eukaryotic LSU rRNA". It matches the Rfam family "Eukaryotic large subunit ribosomal RNA", at positions 699 to 1219 of the family's 3401-position model. The record is from RNAcentral. Lineage: Eukaryota; Metazoa; Arthropoda; Insecta; Coleoptera; Scarabaeidae.